AUUGAACGCUGGCGGCAGGCCUAACACAUGCAAGUCGAGCGCGAAAGGCUUUCGGGCUGAGUAGAGCGGCGGACGGGUGAGUAACGCGUAGGAAUCUACCUGGUAGUGGGGGACAACUUGGGGAAACUCAAGCUAAUACCGCAUACGCCCCACGGGGGAAAGCGGGGGACCUUCGGGCCUCGCGCUAUCGGAUGAGCCUGCGUAGGAUUAGCUAGUUGGUGGGGUAAAGGCUCACCAAGGCGACGAUCCUUAGCUGGUCUGAGAGGAUGAUCGGCCACACUGGAACUGAGACACGGUCCAGACUCCUACGGGAGGCAGCAGUGGGGAAUAUUGCGCAAUGGGCGAAAGCCUGACGCAGCCAUGCCGCGUGUGUGAAGAAGGCCUUAGGGUUGUAAAGCACUUUCAAUUGGGAAGAAAAGUUUAUGGUU
This 428-nucleotide ribosomal RNA is filed under the name uncultured bacterium. Its description in RNAcentral is "bacterial SSU rRNA". It matches the Rfam family "Bacterial small subunit ribosomal RNA", at positions 30 to 461 of the family's 1533-position model. The record is from RNAcentral.